Molecule: ribosomal RNA, 253 nt
Filed under: uncultured bacterium
Lineage: Bacteria
Description: partial 16S ribosomal RNA
Rfam family: Bacterial small subunit ribosomal RNA
Source: RNAcentral
UACGUAGGGACCGAGCGUUGUCCGGAAUCAUUGGGCGUAAAGAGCGUGUAGGCGGCCACUUAAGUCCUGCGUGAAAUCUUGCGGCUCAACCGCAAGCGGUCGUGGGAAACUGGGUGGCUAGAGUGCUGGAGAGGAGAGUGGAAUUCCUGGUGUAGCGGUGGAAUGCGCAGAUAUCAGGAAGAACACCCGUGGCGAAGGCGGGUCUCUGGGCAGUAACUGACGCUGAGGAGCGAAAGCGUGGGGAGCGAACAGG